Cinara cedri is the source of this 236-nucleotide non-coding RNA. NCBI's taxonomy places the organism in Eukaryota, Metazoa, Arthropoda, Insecta, Hemiptera, Aphididae. The record is from the annotation of a GenBank genome assembly.
UUUUAAAAGCAGUUUUAUAAAAAUAGUGAUACCAAUAAAACCAGAGGCUAAUUGCUGUACAAAUAUUAGGUAACCAUGGACAGUCCUAUAGGAAACUUGGUAAUCAUUGGCAAAGUCCACAGGAUUCUGAAAUCUGAUGUAAAAUAUUAAUCAGUGAUUUACCCUCUGGAUAAAACCAAUUAUAAUCAUAAAUAUUGUAAUUUGCCAACCCUUAGUAAUUAAUCAGCUGAAAUUCA